RNAcentral lists this ribosomal RNA (254 nucleotides) under uncultured bacterium. RNAcentral describes it as "partial 16S ribosomal RNA". It matches the Rfam family "Bacterial small subunit ribosomal RNA", at positions 524 to 776 of the family's 1533-position model. The record is from RNAcentral.
UACGUAGGGUGCGAGCGUUGUCCGGAAUUAUUGGGCGUAAAGAGCUCGUAGGCGGUGUGUCACGUCGGCCGUGAAAACCUGCAGCUUAACUGUGGGCGUGCGGUCGAUACGGGCAUCACUGGAGUUCGGCAGGGGAGACUGGAAUUCCUGGUGUAGCGGUGAAAUGCGCAGAUAUCAGGAGGAACACCGGUGGCGAAGGCGGGUCUCUGGGCCGAUACUGACGCUGAGGAGCGAAAGCGUGGGGAGCGAACCGG